UCUCAUCUCCUCCUCCAGCUCCCAAGUAGCUUCUCUCUCACUGUGAUUGCUCCACUGCACCUUUACAUAAGGAAUCGUGCGCCUCCUCAAAACUUGGUCCUUCCUAUCCACUAUACGGAUAGGCUGCUCAACAUACGAAAGAUCUGCGCGGAGCUGCAAAGGUGCCACUUCAAUCACAUGACUGGGAUCAGCAAUGUACCUCCUCAACAUAGAGACAUGAAAAACAGAAUGGACCCCCGAUAAAGCAGGUGGAAGUGCCAGCUUAUAAGCAACAGCUCCAACUCUCUCGAGAAUCUCGAAUGGUCCCACAUAUCUCGGGCUGAGCUUACCCCGAACUCCAAAUCG
RNAcentral lists this long non-coding RNA (345 nucleotides) under Phoenix dactylifera (date palm). Its description in RNAcentral is "long non-coding RNA (PDAC_LNC007019)". The record is from RNAcentral. Lineage: Eukaryota; Viridiplantae; Streptophyta; Magnoliopsida; Arecales; Arecaceae.